This 502-nucleotide ribosomal RNA is filed under the name uncultured bacterium. Its description in RNAcentral is "partial 16S ribosomal RNA". It matches the Rfam family "Bacterial small subunit ribosomal RNA", at positions 30 to 523 of the family's 1533-position model. The record is from RNAcentral.
AUUGAACGCUGGCGGCAUGCCUUACACAUGCAAGUCGAACGGCAGCAUAGGAGCUUGCUCCUGAUGGCGAGUGGCGAACGGGUGAGUAAUAUAUCGGAACGUGCCCUAGAGUGGGGGAUAACUAGUCGAAAGAUUAGCUAAUACCGCAUACGAUCUAAGGAUGAAAGUGGGGGAUCGCAAGACCUCAUGCUAGUGGAGCGGCCGAUAUCUGAUUAGCUAGUUGGUGGGGUAAAAGCUCACCAAGGCGACGAUCAGUAGCUGGUCUGAGAGGACGACCAGCCACACUGGGACUGAGACACGGCCCAGACUCCUACGGGAGGCAGCAGUGGGGAAUUUUGGACAAUGGGGGCAACCCUGAUCCAGCAAUGCCGCGUGAGUGAAGAAGGCCUUCGGGUUGUAAAGCUCUUUUGUCAGGGAAGAAACGGUGAGAGCUAAUAUCUCUUGCUAAUGACGGUACCUGAAGAAUAAGCACCGGCUAACUACGUGCCAGCAGCCGCAGUAA